This 66-nucleotide transfer RNA is filed under the name Leucrocuta aphrodite. RNAcentral's name for it is "tRNA-Tyr". It matches the Rfam family "tRNA". Rfam says of the family: Transfer RNA (tRNA) molecules are approximately 80 nucleotides in length. Their secondary structure includes four short double-helical elements and three loops (D, anti-codon, and T loops). The record is from RNAcentral. Lineage: Eukaryota; Metazoa; Arthropoda; Insecta; Ephemeroptera; Heptageniidae.
GGUAAGAUGGCUGAGUUAGGUGAUAGACUGUAAAUCUAUUUAGGAGGAGUUACACCUCUCUUACCA